Molecule: small RNA, 1021 nt
Filed under: Vigna angularis var. angularis
Lineage: Eukaryota; Viridiplantae; Streptophyta; Magnoliopsida; Fabales; Fabaceae
Description: Non-protein coding transcript
Source: RNAcentral
UCAGAGUAUAAGAAAUAUUAAGGUAGAUUCAGUUUACCACAUCAUGCACAUAUGAUGUUUCAGCCUGUGGGCCCCUCAGUUGCCAAGUAAAUGUGACAUUGCCAUGUGUUACAGAGGACUAUGUGGGGUUCAAAGUUCAAACUAUGCGAGGGGCCAUUUGCAUGUAGGCCUGAGUUAAGGGAUCAUGUGCCACAUGCAAGGAACUGAGGACAAUAUGAUAGCCAUUGCUGGUCCAAGUAUCAUCCAUCAAUUGGCAGUAGCUGAAAGAACUGCUUCGUACAGUUGGGCCUUUUGGUUAGGAGCUAAUUCCAGAAGCUUUGAGUGGCCGCAUACUCAUCAUUUAUGAUGCAUUGCAUUGAAAUUUUUGUUGAAACAUGGAUGGCAUGGCCGAGAGGGAACUAAAAGAAACACAACAUCCACCAAGGAGCUACCCGUAUUCAUCUAAGAGCAAAGAGUGAAAACAGAAGAAAGAGGGGGUGAGAGGGAAGUUGCCUUGGCCAUAUCAGUCAACUUAUCUUGUUAUUUAGAAAUCAAUUAUUGGCUAAUAACUAAAGAAUAAAAGGUUCACUGUUUGUUAUGCAGUGCUGGUUUUGGCAAACAUCCACAUCUUUGGACCACUAACCUGUGAAGCACCUUUCAAGUACUAUUUUCAUGUUAGGUAACAUGGUUUGUAUAUUAUGGUUCCUAUACAUUUUUCUCAAGUUAAAAGGACUGGUGGCUGUGGAAUAAUAUUGUCAACCUUUCAUCCUACAUAGGAUAGUUCUUGAUCAAUGUUACUGCGUGAUGGAUAAGGAAGUUAUCCACAUCAAAGCUCUAUCUUAUCUACAUGCUUCACCAUAUGCAGAAGCUUUUUGAAUCUGCAAAUGCAAUUUUCUAAUUAUGUAGAUUAUUCAAUCUUUUCGUAUGUCAUUUAUCUCUUUUUGCUAACAGAACAAUUGCCUUUACUUUCCCGAAGAAAAGCCACGUGUUGAUUUGUGGUGAACUUCUUUUUAUAAUGACAGUAAGUUUAAGUGUUAAACUA